AACGAACGCUGGCGGCGUGCCUAACACAUGCAAGUCGAACGGAAUUUGAGAGCUUGCUCUUAAAUUUAGUGGCGCACGGGUGAGUAACGCGUAGAUAAUCUGCCUGAUGAUCUGGGAUAACAGUUCGAAAGGACUGCUAAUACCGGAUAAGCCCACGGGUUCUUUGGAAUCUGCGGGAAAAGGGGGGGACCUUUUGGCCUUCUGUCAUCAGAUGAGUCUGCGUACCAUUAGCUAGUUGGUAGGGUAAAGGCCUACCAAGGCUACGAUGGUUAGCUGGUCUGAGAGGAUGAUCAGCCACACGGGAACUGAGACACGGUCCAGACUCCUACGGGAGGCAGCAGUGGGGAAUUUUGCGCAAUGGGCGAAAGCCUGACGCAGCAACGCCGCGUGAGUGAUGAAGGCUUUCGGGUCGUAAAGCUCUGUCAGGGGGAAAGAAAUGUAUUGUGGCUAAUAUCCGCGAUACUUGACGGUACCCCCAAAGGAAGCACCGGCUAACUCCGUGCCAGCCGCCGCAGUAA
This 518-nucleotide ribosomal RNA is filed under the name uncultured bacterium. Its description in RNAcentral is "partial 16S ribosomal RNA". It matches the Rfam family "Bacterial small subunit ribosomal RNA", at positions 29 to 523 of the family's 1533-position model. The record is from RNAcentral.